Xenia sp. Carnegie-2017 is the source of this 329-nucleotide long non-coding RNA. RefSeq lists it as uncharacterized. NCBI's taxonomy places the organism in Eukaryota, Metazoa, Cnidaria, Anthozoa, Malacalcyonacea, Xeniidae. The record is from RefSeq and is a predicted model, not a curated record. The transcript is spliced from 2 exons.
GUCAGUGCAAGGAGUGGCAUGAAUACUCUUUAACAUCUGUUCAAUAUUCAUGUCGAUUAACUUGCAGCUAUGUGUUUAUAACAACCGAUCGAUAACGAAGGCCAUUAAAAGUUGGGAACAGCUUUUUUAAAUAUUUAUUUUGAUUAUGUCACUUUAAAGUUAGCAGAAGGACAUUUUUCUGUAAUCGUUUUGCGACAACUACUUAAGCAUAACAAUUUUAGAAUAUUUCAUCUUGAUGGAAGUAUCUUCUGUUAUGUAAAACAUACAGUUAUACUAUGAACUCUUUACUAUUUAGUUGUACUUCAUUACAAUACACAUAUUUAAUACAA